RNAcentral lists this ribosomal RNA (253 nucleotides) under uncultured bacterium. RNAcentral describes it as "partial 16S ribosomal RNA". It matches the Rfam family "Bacterial small subunit ribosomal RNA", at positions 524 to 776 of the family's 1533-position model. The record is from RNAcentral.
UACGUAGGUGGCGAGCGUUGUCCGGAAUUACUGGGUGUAAAGCGCGCGUAGGCGGGAGGCCAAGUCCGCUGUGAAAUCGCCCGGCUCAACUGGGCGCGGUCGGUGGAAACUGGUCACCUGGAGGACGGUAGAGGCGAGUGGGAUUCCCGGUGUAGUGGUGAAAUGCGUAGAGAUCGGGAGGAACACCAGUGGCGAAGGCGGCUCGCUGGGCCGGCCCUGACGCUGAGGCGCGAAGGCGUGGGGAGCAAACAGG